GCCCCGUCUGGGAGGGAGGUGGGGUCAGCCCCCCGCCCGGCCAGCCGCCCCGUCCGGGAGGUGAGGGGCGCCUCUGCCCAGCCGCCCCUACUGGGAAGUGAGGAGCCCCUCUGCCGGGCCAGCCACCCCGUCCGGGAGGGAGGUGGGGGGCUCAGCCCCCCGCCCGGCCAGCCGACCCGUCCGGGAGGGAGGUGGGGGGUCAGCCCCCCGCCCGGCCAGCCGCCCCGUCCGGGAGGUGAGGGGCACCUCUGCCCGGCCGCCCCUACUGGGAAGUGAGGAGCCCCUCUGCCCAGCCAGCCGCCCCGUCCGGGAGGGAGGUGGGGGGGUCAGCCCCCCGCCCGGCCAGCCGCCCCGUCCGGGAGGGAGGUGGGGGGGUCAGCCCCCAGCCCGGCCAGCCGCCCUGUCCGGGAGGUGAGGGGCGCCUCUGCCCAGCCGCCCCUACUGGGAAGUGAGGAGCCCCUCUGCCCAGCCAGCCGCCCCGUCCGGGAGGGAGGUGGGGGGGUCAGCCCCCCGCCCGGCCAGCCGCCCCGUCCGGGAGGUGAGGGGCGCCUCUGCCCGGCCACCCCUACUGGGAAGUGAGGAGCCCCUCUGCCCAGCCACCACCUCGUCUGGGAGGUGUACCCAACAGCUCAUUGAGAACGGGCCGGGAUGACAAUGGCGGUUUUGUGGAAUAGAAAGGGGGGAAAGGUGGGGAAAAGAUUGAGAAAUCGGAUGGUUGCCGUGUCUGUGUAGAAAAAAGUAGACAUGGGAGACUUUUCAUUUUGUUCUGUACUAAGAUAAAUUCUUCUGCCUUGGGAUCCUGUUGAUCGGUGACCUUACCCCCAACCCUGUGCUCUCUGAAACAUGUGCUGUGUCCACUCAGGGUUAAAUGGAUUAAGGGAGGUGCAAGAUGUGCUUUGUUAAACAGAUGCUUGAAGGCAGCAUGCUCGUUAAGAAUCAUCACCACUCCCUAAUCUCAAGUACCCAGGGACACAAACACUGCGGAAGGCCGCAGGGUCCUCUGCCUAGGAAAACCAGAGACCUUUGUUCACUUGUUUAUCUGCCAACCUUCCCUCCACUAUUGUCCUAUGACCCUGCCAAAUCCCCCUCUGCGAGAAACACCCAAGAAUGAUCAAUAAAAAAAAUAAAAAUUAAAAAAAAAAGUUAAAAAAUAUAUAUAUAUAACUAAUUAAUUUUAACAGACAAAUGAUAAUUGUGCAUAUUCAUGGGGUACAUAGUGAUGUUUCAGUACAUACAAUGUAUAGCGAUCAGAUCAGUGUAAUUAGCAUGGCCAUCCUCUCAAACAUUUAUAAUUUCUUUGUGUUAGGAACUUUUACCAUCCUCCUUCUAGCUAUUUGAAACUCUGUAAUGUAUGAUUGUUAAUUAUAGUCAUCCUCCAGUGCUGUAGAACACUAGAACUUGUUCCUCCUAUCUAGCUGUGAUUUUGUUUCAUUUAACAAAUCUCUCCCUAUCCCUCCCUUCCUCCAACUUUGUUUUACCUCUUCUCUUCUUUAUUCACCUCCACUCUCAUGACCAUCUUUGAAAUCAACCAAAUAUGGAACUUAAAUACAGCAUUUUAGAUAUUCAUAUUUGUAGAAAAUAAUUUUAUACUUGCAGCUCUUAAUUUUAAAAGCAUAUAAGUUUGCAUAUCUCUUUCUUAAAAGAGAAUUCAAGGCCAACAACUUAAAUUUUACUUCUGACAGGAUUUUUUAUUGUUUUCUAUAGGUCAGUGAGCCUGAAUAGACAAAAUAUUUCCUAGCAAAGCCCUCAUAUUUAAUAUUAUGUGAAUUUAAAGUUUUUAAAUCAUAAUUGUAAAAUAAAUAUUUAAUAACUCCUUUACAGAUAGAC
Molecule: long non-coding RNA, 1827 nt
Filed under: Homo sapiens (human)
Lineage: Eukaryota; Metazoa; Chordata; Mammalia; Primates; Hominidae
Description: HSALNT0364232
Source: RNAcentral